UCGAUUGAACGCGAAGAACCUUACCAGGGAUUGACAUGACGGUAGUAGUGAAGCGAAAGCGGAACGACCCUUCGGGGAGCCGUCACAGGUGAUGCAUGGCUGUUGUCAGCUCGUGCCGUGAGGUGUUUGGUUAAGUCCACUAACGAGCGCAACCCUUAGCCCCAGUUAUACGUGUCUGGUGCGACUGCCGGUAUUAAGCCAAAGGAAGGUGGGGAUGACGUCAAGUCAGCAUGUCCUUUAUGCCCUGGGCGACACACACGCUACAAUGGCCAGUACAGUAGGUUGCCAAGCCGCGAGGCGGAGCCAAUCCUAAAAAGCUGGUCUCAGUUCGGAUUGCAGGCUGCAACCCGCCUGCAUGAAGUCGGAGUUGCUAGUAACCGCAGGACAGCUAUACUGCGGUGAAUACGUUCCCGGGUCUUGUACACACC
This 428-nucleotide ribosomal RNA is filed under the name uncultured soil bacterium. RNAcentral's name for it is "bacterial SSU rRNA". It matches the Rfam family "Bacterial small subunit ribosomal RNA", at positions 951 to 1391 of the family's 1533-position model. The record is from RNAcentral.